This 1085-nucleotide long non-coding RNA is filed under the name Phasianus colchicus (ring-necked pheasant). RNAcentral describes it as "lncRNA (ENSPCLG00000018280.1)". Lineage: Eukaryota; Metazoa; Chordata; Aves; Galliformes; Phasianidae. The record is from RNAcentral.
AUGAUGUGGUCCAUGUACAAGCCUCUGGAAAAUCUGAUUUGGGCUCUGCAUGAUCCAGAUUUUGACAAGAGUUUCAGAUCACUCAGAGGUCACAGCCAGGGAAGACCACCAAACACAUGCAUGAGUGACAUUGCUACCAAGUGGAAAAUGUGUUGAAGUGGUUAACAGGUAAGGAAUCCUGUAUCUGUCUCAGUUAUCCUUGCACACCUUUAAUUGCUGGAAGGAUCAGAAGAGCUCCUUGGAAGUGCAAUAAUAAGAAAUGCUACUGGAAUGCUCUUCCAAAUGUUCUGUAGCUCCUGAUAGGUUUCCUUGCAAAUUUAGGCAUAGAAUUGGGCUCGCUAUACUUGAAAUGAUGGCUACUCAACCUUUGCCAUCUCUGUGGGCAGCAGUUUGGCUUCCUUUGAGCUAAGGAGAUGCAGAAAGCACUCAUCUCUGAGUGGAUCAGGACCUGCCAGUCCUGCUCUAAUCCAGACAAGCUGUCCUAGACACAUAGUACAUCAACAUCACUUUGUGAGCCAAGAGUUUCUGAAGAUCCCAAAUCUUUCUUCUAAGAUUUCCACCAUUUUUCUACAUACAAGAAAAACUUGAUUUUUGCUCUUUAGAAAAUAACUGUCAGAUAACAUUACUGAGGAUCGUUUCUAGUGCAGUAUGGCAGGAUACAUUUAGUCUUGUUAAGACCCAGUCUCUCUAUGUAUAACGUCACACUGACUGCCAUACAAAAGUGGUAGUCCUACUGAAGCAACAAGUUUCCUGCACGUGCAUUCCUCUGCAUGUAUGCCAUGUAUUCCAGGGGUGAGAAUCUCCAAAGUACCCAUACAAAGAGAGCAUGCUGAAGUGUUGCAGAUUGAUGAAUGUGCCAGGCAGGGUCCAGUGUGUGAAAAAGUGUAUAAAGCAUCAACAAAAAGCACCUUGUGAAAAGUAGUUGUUCUUCACAUCACAAGAAAUAUUAAAAUGGAUAGCAGCAAAAACACACAGAAAAAAACAUCUCUUUAAAAUGUGUAGGUACCUAUGUUUCACUGUGAGAAACUGCACCUGCCUGGGUCUAUUAGGCAUUUUCGCUGGCAUUAACUUUCCACACCUAUGAC